GCUUCAUUUGUCUUCCUC
Molecule: non-coding RNA, 18 nt
Filed under: Arabidopsis thaliana (thale cress)
Lineage: Eukaryota; Viridiplantae; Streptophyta; Magnoliopsida; Brassicales; Brassicaceae
Source: RNAcentral